Long non-coding RNA from Cyprinus carpio (common carp), 1902 nucleotides. The record is from Ensembl. Lineage: Eukaryota; Metazoa; Chordata; Actinopteri; Cypriniformes; Cyprinidae.
UGAUCUUGUAAUACCGUCAUCAUCCGCUCAUCCGGGUCUCUAGGGGGCGCUAGAGAGACUUGCCCGCUAACAUCAGCGCUUGAACGGCGCGCGUCAGGACGUUCAGUAAAACGUGGACUGGAUAAGAAUCUGCGGAGUGAGAUUAAAAUAAAUUUCCCUUACUGACAAGCUAAACAGAGGUAUGUGAUAGAAUAAUAUCUGAAUAUUUAUUACGAUAUUGAAGUUAUACGUUGAAGUGUUGUUUGAAUUUUAAACAGAGCUGCUGCUUUGCUGAGUCCGGAUUCAAAUACUGAGCGGAAGCGGAAGCGCUCGAGUGUAAACAGACUCUGUAGCUGAACUUUAAAGAGACUCAAGCCUCUUUUUAUUUGUGAUCUACUGUCUCAGUCUAAAUUACACUCACACUGGGGUUUGAGGAAGACAAACUAACUACAAUAGAAUAAUAAUAACAACAGUGACAGUAAUAGUGAUAUAUUGUAGAACAGUUUCACUGUAAAAUAAAUGAAAAUGAAUAUUUCAUAGGUAUAUUGUUAUUGUUUUACACUACAGCAGGGACAUCACAACACUUCUUUCCUAAUUUCUACACUUGAGAGAGAUGUUUAGAGUCUGGAGUGUGUUUAAACCUGUAGCUGUCAGUAAUUGAUGCUGCACUUGAAGCUUUUAUUCUGAAGGAAACUCCAGCUUCAGUGAAAACAGGCUUACAAAAACCCCCUCACUACAAAUCUAGAGAAACGCUGUGAAGAUAAAGCAGAACUGCUGUCUGUUGUGUUCCCAAACGCGCUCUAAACUCACAGCAGGUGAAAUAAAGGAGCUGACUGCAUUCAUUCAGUGUGAAGCAAGCCCAUCUGAACCGUCUGAACCUGAAUAUUUUAAGCCAGAAGAAGUGUUUUAUGAUUGUGUGAAGCAUCGUAAGUGAUUAAACUCUGGGCUGUUCUUUAUGUGUUCUGGGCUGCAGUCGUCUGCGCAGACGCAGAAGGAUCAGGAGACGGCUCUGACGGAGGAAGAGCGCAGACAACAGCAGGAACUACUGCAGUCUUUAGCGGAGUGUGUCCUUCACGUGUCCAGGCGCAGGCUCACGUCUGGAGGACACACUGACCUCCAUCUGUCUGCACACACAACACCUCACAGGAUCCCUCUCUGCUGCCACCAGAAACUCACAGAGUCAAUCUGCAGAACACACUCGUGUCAUCAUCAGUCGAUACAUCACAUCAUCACACCACAGUCAGCAAGAACCGAGCCUUUCCCAAGCUUUCAGUCGAGUGCUUCACUGAAGUGCCUGAAACAGCACACGCUAGUGACACCUGCUGGUCAAACUCUGUAAAUGCAACAAAACUUCUGCAAAAACAGGCAUAAAAACACCUUUUACAACCCCAAGGCAAAUACAUUCUUCAAAGUAUAAUAUAUUAAAUGGACUUUAAAUAUUAAAAUACCAUUGCAUAUGAAGUGUCUGUAUAUAUGUGAUUUAAAUUUUUUUUAUUAAUUUGCAGGGCUUGUUUAGUUUGUUUUAUGGAGAGCUUGUCUGAACAGUCAGUAAGAGACUAUUAACUACUACUCAUCCUGUUAAUUACACAACAUUAGAAAUAUCUUCAAACUGAUUUCCCAAAGUUUUGAAGCUUCACAUCAGGCUGAUCUUAAAGCUGAUUGGCUGUAAUGUUCCAUCAGCUGACAGGAAGACGUUUUCUCCGUCCAGUGAAGAGAAAUGGAGUCCAGUGCCAAAGAUCUGUCGAGUUUCAAAGAUGAACUGCACUUUUAUAUUAUUGUCUUUAAACAUUUUGCCAGUUAUUUAAUCAAGUUUUAUAUGUUUUUCUUGACAUCUCUGUACAUCUUACGGCUUCAGCAGCGCUUUUCUUGCUGGUUUUGUCUUUGCACACUUGAAUAAAUUGUGAAAAUUGUUGUAAUUUGUCA